GAGACAGGGUCACACUCUAUUGCCCAGGCUGGAGUGCGGUGGCAUGAUCACGGCUCAGUGCAGCCUUGACCCCCUGAGCUCAAGCGAUCUUCCUGCCUCAGCCUCUCGAGUGGCUGGGACUGCAAGCUGCGCCACCACACCUGGCUUUUUAAACAAAACUUUUAUAGAGAUGGUGGUCCCACUAUGUUGCCCAGGCUGGUCUUGAACUCCUGACCUCAAGCAAUCCUCUGCCUUGGCCUUCCAAAGUGCUGGGAUUACAGGGGUGAGCCACCACGCCCAACCAAAAGCUUUACUUUUUAGUAAUUAUUUUCAUUUUCUUAAAAGAUCACUCCUAUUAAACCCUAUUUUUUUUAAAGCAAGCAUCAAGGAUUUAUUUUAUUUUUUUAGAGACAGAGUCUCAUUCUGUCACCCAGGCUGGAGUGCAGUGGUGUUAUCAUGGCUCACUGCAGCUUCAAACUCCUGGACUCAAGUGAUCCUCCCACCUCACCCUCCUGAGUAGCUGGGACCACAUGCAUGCACCACCAUACCUGGCUAAUUAUUUUAAAUUUUUUGUAGAGAUGGGAUCUUGCUGUGUUGCCCAGGCUGGUCUCAAACUCCUGGCUUCAGGUGAUCCUUCUGCCUCAGCCUCCCAAAGCUCUGGGAUUACAGGUGUGGGCUACCAUGCCCAGCUAGGGAUUUCUUUUAAAAAGCAACAUCACCAGGAGAUGACAGGGUCAAUACCAACUCACUGCUCAAAUCUUCUGAUAAAAUCUCACUCCUUCAUUCAUCUACCCAUCCAUUCAGCCAACAAUUACCUAUCACAUACCUAAUACGUGGCAGGGUGAGGCAGGAGAAUUACUUGAACCCUGGAGGCGGAGGUUACAGUGAGCUGAGAUCCUGCCACUGCACUCCAGCCUGGUGACAGAGUGAGACUCCGUAUCAAAAAAAAA
Molecule: long non-coding RNA, 929 nt
Filed under: Homo sapiens (human)
Lineage: Eukaryota; Metazoa; Chordata; Mammalia; Primates; Hominidae
Description: HSALNT0243793
Source: RNAcentral